This 460-nucleotide ribosomal RNA is filed under the name uncultured bacterium. Its description in RNAcentral is "partial 16S ribosomal RNA". It matches the Rfam family "Bacterial small subunit ribosomal RNA", at positions 338 to 795 of the family's 1533-position model. The record is from RNAcentral.
CCUACGGGAGGCAGCAGUGAGGAAUAUUGGUCAAUGGACGAGAGUCUGAACCAGCCAAGUAGCGUGAAGGAUGACUGCCCUAUGGGUUGUAAACUUCUUUUAUAUGGGAAUAAAAUGUUCCACGUGUGGGAUUUUGUAUGUACUAUAUGAAUAAGGAUCGGCUAACUCCGUGCCAGCAGCCGCGGUAAUACGGAGGAUCCGAGCGUUAUCCGGAUUUAUUGGGUUUAAAGGGAGCGUAGGUGGUUUGUUAAGUCAGUUGUGAAAGUUUGCGGCUCAACCGUAAAAUUGCAGUUGAAACUGGCAGUCUUGAGUACAGUAGAGGUAGGCGGAAUUCGUGGUGUAGCGGUGAAAUGCUUAGAUAUCACGAAGAACCCCGAUUGCGAAGGCAGUUCACUGAACUGCAACUGACACUGAGGCUCGAAAGUGUGGGUAUCAAACAGGAUUAGAUACCCGGGUAGUC